Branchiostoma floridae (Florida lancelet) is the source of this 315-nucleotide long non-coding RNA. RefSeq lists it as uncharacterized. NCBI's taxonomy places the organism in Eukaryota, Metazoa, Chordata, Leptocardii, Amphioxiformes, Branchiostomatidae. The transcript is spliced from 2 exons. The record is from RefSeq and is a predicted model, not a curated record.
GGUCUCGUGGCGUGCUGAGUCUGCGUGUGAUGCCGAGGGGCGCGGCCACCUGGAUUUAAAUACCCGCACUGCGGACCUCGGAGGAAACACACACAAACACAUGGACGAAAAUGGCCGACCUGCACACUAGCUGUGUUUCCUUGUCGUGUCCGCCAAUUGGGAGCAGGCUUCCAUGGCUGGUGCUUGCGAAUGGAGGAAUGCACUGCCGACUACCUCACACGGGCGUCCGCUCCGACCAAGAAAGUUAAGAAAAGUAUCGUUCAUGGACUUAGAAAAUCUUAAAUAAAAUCACCAACUACAAAUCUUCUUCUUCCA